RNAcentral lists this microRNA (18 nucleotides) under Rattus norvegicus (Norway rat). RNAcentral's name for it is "rno-miR-1956-3p". The record is from miRBase by way of RNAcentral. Lineage: Eukaryota; Metazoa; Chordata; Mammalia; Rodentia; Muridae.
UGGCUGGCACCUGGACGU